Molecule: long non-coding RNA, 1170 nt
Filed under: Homo sapiens (human)
Lineage: Eukaryota; Metazoa; Chordata; Mammalia; Primates; Hominidae
Description: HSALNT0129111
Source: RNAcentral
AGGAUAACUAAACUUUUCUGCCAACUACUAUUCCCACUGCUCCAACCUCACACUGCAGCUAAUCCACUCCCUACAAGGAUGGUCGAGAUUUUCCUCCACUUAAAUGAAUUCCCUCCCUGGCUUCCACACUGCCCUCAGGAUGAAAACCCAAGUUCCUCUCAGCUUAGUUUAGAAAGCUCUUCACCAGGUCAUUUCAAAGCCUUAGAAACUGGCCUCAACAGUAACUGCAGGAAGCAUACUUGUCAGAUCUGAGCAAUAAAAAUACACCCUGACUGCUGAGCCUGGAGCACGGGAGAGCCUACAGCUAACCAGGGAAGACAUGCUUUAGAUAAAGUCCUUCCAACAUCUUGCAACCUGGAUAACAGCCAAGUCCUAUUCAUCCCUCUCAACCUGGCUCUUCCAUGCCCUCCUGCAAGGCCUUCCCCAGCCCUUCUCUGUGGAUGCCCCUCCUCCGUUUUGAAGCAGACUGGAUACCAGCCCCACCCCGCCGCCAUGCUUCUUUUAUCCUUGCAGCUUCACUCCUGAGGCUGGCGAGACCACGAACCCACCAGGAGAAAUGAACUCCAGACGGGAAGAAUAAACAACUCCAGAUGCACCACCUUAAGAGCUGUAACACGCACCGCCAAGGUUUGCAGAUUCAUUCCUGAAGCCAGCAAGACCACGAACCCACCAGAAGGAAGAAACUCUGAACACGUCCGAACAUCAGAAGGAACAAACUCUGGAUACACCAUCUUUAAGAACUGUAACACUCACCACGAGGGUCCAUGACUUCAUUCUUGAAGUCAGUGAGACCAAGAACCCACCAAUUCUGGACACAAUUUCAUUUGGUGAGCAGUCCAGAUUACAUGUGUGUACACUGUAAUGAUCAGCUAAGGACUGACUGCUUUUAGCUCCUUCACCCGUUCUCACCUCUGAGGUUCAGUAAUAAAUGGCUCCUACCAACUAACUGAAGUAUCAAUCAAAAUCUUAAAGGUAUUCAUUCAUUAUACGGUAUUUACACCCCCCUUAAAAUGCAAAAUUUAUAGUUUUAUUAAUACAAACAUCCAGACAAGAAAAUAAGCAGACUAGCAAGAUAAAACCAGAGCCUUCAAAAAUUACACAAAGCAUACAAAUAUGUAGGCCAAAUGGUUAAAGUGAGCCAUAAACUUGGCCCUACACUCUAGUGACAAA